CAUCACUACCUCCUUUGCGCAAAUACUUGAUCCACGUCACUUACCAAGCUUCCACCUAUGUCGUCGGAGUAGCCGGAUGGGCCACCAGACUGAAAAUCAUUAGCGAAUCUGUCGGAAUCGAACCAUUCAGGAGUACAUUCGUGGAACAAGGUGCCCCUUUCUCUUGGCACCCAUUUCGUCAUUGUCUUCUUUUGCACGGACCCCUCUCUCUCCUCUGAAACUUCUCCAUCACUCUUGCUUCUCAAACACACUUAUUUAGGGUUUGUCUUUCAUUAAAAUCAUCACUGCAAAAAGUAGCAGGAGCUUAAGAACACGAGAAUGAGUGUUUCAAAGUUCAUAAAAUUGUCUCUGUUGGUGAUGGAGCUAUUGGCAAGACUUGUAUGCUCAUUUGUUACACAAGCAGCAAGUUCCACAUUGUAAAUCUUUCUUUCUCUGUAUAUACAUACAUAUAGAUUUUCAUGUAAUUUCUUGGAAAAACCCACUUUAUUUCAAAUUCUUUAGCUGUUAACCUUCUUAUUUAUAGGAUUAUCUUCUGAAUUUGUUCUUCUGAGUAACCUUAACCUAAUUUCAGAUUCUUUAGAUGAUCAUUUAGCUCCCUUCUUCUAAAUUAGACAUUCUUUUACAACUUCCACUUCACAAAUUACAAGUCACCACAACAUUUUUACCUAAGUUUUUGCUAAGUAUAAUCUGUGGGCUUGAUCUUUUGGUUAAUUCCAGUGCUAAUGUGGAUGUGGAAGGAAAUAUGGUAAACUUAGGAUUAUGGGAUACUGCUGGUAUUUUCUUUAAAAUCCAAUAUUCAAUGAGUGCAUUGUACAUAAUUUGUUACAGGAUAUUUUGGGUAAUUAAUAAUUAUUUUCAUGUGAUUUAUCAGUAAUGUUAGUGGUGUUGUGAAGGUUCCGGAAGGACAUUGUUGGGUAGAAGGUGACAACUCAGCUUCUAGCUUUGAUUCAAGAUCAUUUGGCCCCAUAUAUUACCUUUAUAUUUGAUUAAUUAUGAUACCAUUUUGAAAUUUAACAUUUGUGGUUAUAUAGGAUUCUUUCCAUCAAUCUUGUUGUCUGCCACAAUAAGUCCGAUCAUUAGAAAUGUUUUAAAGAUUUGGUCUUAACUCCAGACUUUGUAUGGAAAGAUCGUUGGCAUGGUGCUGCACAACGUUGGUGGAUUCUUGUUGAGGAUUCAGAGAAUGAUCAUAUCUACCCUUCGGAACUUUUUACAUUGACAAAACGAGCAACAAAAGGUGAACCACAUAAGCUUUCCUUCACUGUGCCAAUUUUUGAACCACAUCAUCCUCAAUACUACAUUUGUGUUGUUUCUGAUUCUUGGUUGCAUUCUGAGGCUUUCUAUACUAUCUCUUUCAAAUACCUAGCCCUACCGGAGGUGAUUUUAGUAAAUUAACAUUCAGAAAUGUUUGUGAUUGUCGAUUCUUGUUUUAUAGUUAAAUUUGGUAUUUUUUUUUCUUUUAUCCAUACAACACACACUGAACUUCUAGAUUUGAAGCCACUUCCUGUGACAGUUAGUUCUCAGCUUCUGGUAUGGUAUCAUCAAUCAUGUUUAUUGAUAAAAGUUGGUGUUGAAUGAAUUUGUAAUUAUGUAUUAGGAAAAUGGGUUUUCGUUGGAGGAGGAUUUGGAUGCUCCUCCUGGGCAGCGUUAUAAAAUGAAAGUUGUCCCCACCAGUAAGAACAUAACUUUUGGUGUUGCAGAUCUGGUUUUGAAUUACUAAUGUUGGAACUUCAAUUGUUGAUGUUUGUUUUUCGUUCUGGGACAGCCUCUGAGGCUCGAUAUCAAGGAAGCUUGCUCAAAGAUCAGAAAGAGUAAAAUCGGUGGACCUGUAUCCUAUGGAACCAUGGUAAUGAUUCACAUGUCAUAUAGAAGUAUACCAGUAUGUAUGUUAGUAACUUUUUUCUUCUUGUUCUGAAAUUGGCUGACAUUGCUCCUUUUGGUUAUGACUUCUAUAUUUUUAAUAGCUUAACUUUGAGCCUCAAUGUGAA
Molecule: non-coding RNA, 1985 nt
Organism: Lactuca sativa (garden lettuce)
Lineage: Eukaryota; Viridiplantae; Streptophyta; Magnoliopsida; Asterales; Asteraceae
Source: RefSeq, a predicted model, not a curated record